GAUGAAGAACGUAGCGAAAUGCGAAAAGUAAUGUGAAUUGCAGAAUUCAGUGAACCAUCGAAUCUUUGAACGCACAUUGCGCCCGCUGGAACUCCGGCGGGCACGCCUGUCCGAGCGUCAUUUCAACCCUCAGGCCCCCCUUCGCGGGCGGGCCUGGUGUUGGGGCCCGGCCGCUACCCUGCGGCCGUCCCCUAAAUUCAGUGGCGGCCUCGCCGUGAUCCCUUGCGUAGUAAUGCACCUCGCACCGGAGAGCGCCGUGGCCACGCCGUAAAACCCCCAAUUUUCAAUGGUUGACCUCGGAUCAGGUGGGAAUACCCGCUGAACUUAAGCAUAUCAAUAAGCGGGA
Molecule: unclassified non-coding RNA, 346 nt
Filed under: soil metagenome
Description: partial contains 5.8S ribosomal RNA, internal transcribed spacer 2, and large subunit ribosomal RNA
Rfam family: 5.8S ribosomal RNA (bases 1-120)
Source: RNAcentral